GCCGGACCUCCCCUGGAGUGUUAAGCUCUCCAUAUGCAUUCUCUCCUUCGCCGUUGAUAUCACCCGUCGCUCUGAUGGCACUGUCAAUCGCUUUCUCAUGAGCUUUUUCGACCUUAGAACCUCUCCCUCCUAGAAACCAAUCAAAGGUGGUGUAAAAACUCGUGAUAUCAUGGUUGAUAAGACUAGAAACCUCUGGUUUCGCCUCUAUACCCCUAUCACCACCAACACCACCACAGUUGAAGUUUCUAAUGGAGCCGGCUUGCCUGUUAUUUUCUUCUUCCAUGGUGGUGGCUUUGCCUACUUGUCAACCAAUUCAAAAUUUUAUGAUGAUUUAUGCUACCGACUUGCCAGCGAACUCUCUACUUUUAUUAUCUCCGUCAACUACCGGUUGGCUCCAGAGCAUCGUUGUCCAACCCAGUACGAAGAUGGUUUUGAUACUCUCAAAUUCAUCAACAACGGAAGAAUUGAUGAUUUUUUAAGCAAAGCCAAUCUCAAACGCUGUUUUCUCGCAGGGGAUAGUGCAGGAGGCAACUUGGCACAUCAUGUGGCACUAAAAGCAAGUGAACAUGAAUUUUCUACAAUAAAACUCAAUGGAAACAUAUUGAUCCAACCAUUUUUUGGAGGUGAAGAACGAACAGAAUCUGAGUUGAGGCUUACACGAGCUCCAUUUAUUACGUUGGAGCGUACAGAUUGGAUGUGGAAGACAUUCUUGCCGAAGGGUGAAAAUCGGGACCAUCGGAUGGUGAAUGUUUUUGGGCCUAAUUGGGUUGACAUUUCCAAAGUCGAGUUUCUGAAAACAAUUAUUUUUGUGGGAAGUUAUGAUCCUUUACAAGAUUGGCAAAGAAGGUACCAUGAAGGGUUGAGGAAAUCCAGAAAAGAAGCAUAUUUGGAGGAGUUUCCUACUGCAAUGCACGCAUUUUAUCUUUUUCCUAAGCUGCCCGAGUCUUCUUUGUUGAUAAACAAAAUAAGGGAGUUUACGGAGAACCGAUCAUUAGGGGUGGCCACCGGUUCGGUUCGGGGCCAUUUCCAAGCCGGAACAAGCGGUUCGCUCCCUUCAGCCGAUUUGAACUAGAAUCAUGGUGUAGUUUGGUUCGAACCAAUUCCAAUUUCAAGUAGUCUCAUUUUAGUCCAGUAUUCUAAAGCAAUUUUGGUUUUUCAUGGUUCUGGUUGGACCUGGUUCAACAUGGUUCAACCUGUUUUAGGUCCAAUACCGGUUUGACCUCAGUGUUUCUUUUAAAAUGUAAGACAUUGU
This 1252-nucleotide unclassified non-coding RNA is filed under the name Hevea brasiliensis (rubber tree). Lineage: Eukaryota; Viridiplantae; Streptophyta; Magnoliopsida; Malpighiales; Euphorbiaceae. The record is from RNAcentral.